UUUUUUGAGAGUUUGAUCCUGGCUCAGGAUGAACGCUGGCGGUGUGCUUUAGGCAUGCAAGUCGAACGGUAACAGGUCUAGUUUACUAGAUGCUGACGAGUGGCGAACGGGUGAGUAACACGUAGGAAUCUACCUAGUAGCGGGGGAUAGCCCAUCGAAAGAUGGGAUAAUACCGCAUAAGCCCUUACGGGGAAAGCAUUUAUGCACUAUUAGAGGAGCCUGCGCGCUAUCAGUUAGUUGGUGGGGUAAUGGCCUACCAAGACUACGACGGCUAGCCGAUGUGAGAGCAUGAUCGGCCACAAGGUUACUGAGACACGGAACCUACACCUACGGGUGGCAGC
Molecule: ribosomal RNA, 341 nt
Filed under: Candidatus Pacearchaeota archaeon
Lineage: Archaea; Nanobdellati
Description: bacterial SSU rRNA
Rfam family: Bacterial small subunit ribosomal RNA
Source: RNAcentral